This 57-nucleotide transfer RNA is filed under the name Listeria monocytogenes. Its description in RNAcentral is "tRNA-Arg". It matches the Rfam family "tRNA", at positions 8 to 61 of the family's 71-position model. From Rfam's summary of the family: Transfer RNA (tRNA) molecules are approximately 80 nucleotides in length. Their secondary structure includes four short double-helical elements and three loops (D, anti-codon, and T loops). The record is from RNAcentral. Lineage: Bacteria; Bacillati; Bacillota; Bacilli; Caryophanales; Listeriaceae.
UAGCUCAGCUGGAUAGAGCAACGGCCUUCUAAGCCGUCGGUCGGGGGUUCGAAUCCC